This 459-nucleotide ribosomal RNA is filed under the name uncultured bacterium. Its description in RNAcentral is "partial 16S ribosomal RNA". It matches the Rfam family "Bacterial small subunit ribosomal RNA", at positions 338 to 795 of the family's 1533-position model. The record is from RNAcentral.
CCUACGGGAGGCAGCAGUGAGGAAUAUUGGUCAAUGGGCGAGAGCCUGAACCAGCCAAGUCGCGUGAGGGAGUACUGCCCUAUGGGUUGUAAACCUCUUUUGUCGGAGAACAAAACCCGGGACGUGUCCCGGACUGCGGGUAGCCGAAGAAAAAGCAUCGGCUAACUCCGUGCCAGCAGCCGCGGUAAUACGGAGGAUGCGAGCGUUAUCCGGAUUUAUUGGGUUUAAAGGGUGCGUAGGCGGUCCGUUAAGUCAGCGGUAAAAUUGCGGGGCUCAACCCCGUCGAGCCGUUGAAACUGGCAGACUUGAGUUGGCGAGAAGUACGCGGAAUGCGCGGUGUAGCGGUGAAAUGCAUAGAUAGCGCGCAGAACUCCGAUUGCGAAGGCAGCGUACCGGCGCCAGACUGACGCUGCGGCACGAAAGCGUGGGGAUCGAACAGGAUUAGAUACCCUUGUAGUC